Molecule: ribosomal RNA, 253 nt
Filed under: uncultured bacterium
Lineage: Bacteria
Description: partial 16S ribosomal RNA
Rfam family: Bacterial small subunit ribosomal RNA
Source: RNAcentral
UACGUAGGGUGCGAGCGUUGUCCGGAAUUAUUGGGCGUAAAGGGCUCGUAGGUGGCCAACUAAGUCAGACGUGAAAUCCCUCGGCUUAACCGGGGAACUGCGUCUGAUACUGGAUGGCUUGAGUUCGGGAGAGGGAUGCGGAAUUCCAGGUGUAGCGGUGAAAUGCGUAGAUAUCUGGAGGAACACCGGUGGCGAAGGCGGCAUCCUGGACCGACACUGACACUGAGGAGCGAAAGCCAGGGGAGCAAACGGG